GAAGAGGUUCUUCUAAGAACCACCAUAUAUGUUAAUUCAUCCAAAUU
Molecule: non-coding RNA, 47 nt
Organism: Ovis aries (sheep)
Lineage: Eukaryota; Metazoa; Chordata; Mammalia; Artiodactyla; Bovidae
Source: Rfam